RNAcentral lists this ribosomal RNA (439 nucleotides) under uncultured bacterium. RNAcentral describes it as "partial 16S ribosomal RNA". It matches the Rfam family "Bacterial small subunit ribosomal RNA", at positions 339 to 795 of the family's 1533-position model. The record is from RNAcentral.
CUACGGGAUGCACCAGUGGGGAAUCUUAGACAAUGGGGGAAACCCUGAUCUAGCCAUGCCGCGUGAGCGACGACGGCCCUAGGGUUGUAAAGCUCUUUCAGCAGGGAAGAUAAUGACGGUACCUGCAGAAGAAGUCCCGGCUAACUCCGUGCCAGCAGCCGCGGUAAUACGGAGGGGACUAGCGUUGUUCGGAAUUACUGGGCGUAAAGCGCGCGUAGGCGGAUUGUUAAGUCGGGGGUGAAAUCCCGGGGCUCAACCCCGGAACUGCCCUCGAUACUGGCAGUCCUGAGUUCGGGAGAGGUGAGUGGAAUUCCGGGUGUAGAGGUGAAAUUCGUAGAUAUUCGGAGGAACACCAGUGGCGAAGGCGGCUCACUGGCUCGAUACUGACGCUGAGGUGCGAAAGCGUGGGGAGCAAACAGGAUUAGAUACCCUUGUAGUC